This 600-nucleotide long non-coding RNA is filed under the name Physcomitrium patens. Its description in RNAcentral is "long non-coding RNA (PPAT_LNC004571)". Lineage: Eukaryota; Viridiplantae; Streptophyta; Bryopsida; Funariales; Funariaceae. The record is from RNAcentral.
UCUUAUUUUAUGAUAUUUUGUGGUAUUGCAUUGAAAUAUUGUGGUGAGGAUUGCUGAAAUAUUGAAAAAUUUGUAUUUCAGUUUAGCUUUUUGAGUUUGUUUAUUUGUUUGUUCUUUGUUUUGUUUUGUUUUGUUUUGUUUUUUUUUUUUUUUUGUUUUUUUAAUUUUUUGAUGUUUGGAUUUGUUAUUGGAUUGAUGAAAUGUGGAUUGGACUGAAGUUGUGUGCAUUAAAUUGGAUUUUUAAAUUUUUUAUUUUCAAAAAUAAAUAUUGUUGGGUUAUAUGUUUAUGUGAAAUUAGAUUGUGUGUGGAUUUUGUUUUAGAUAUUGCAUGAAUGAGGAAUGAAAAUUUAGUUUUGUAACGCUUUUGAUGCUAAUGUUGCAUUGAAUCGGUUGUUUUUAAUAAUAAAGUGUUUUGUUUUUAUGAAUCUCUUUGGCUUAUUGAGUUUGUUUGUUUGUUUGUUUGUUCUUUGUUCUUUGUUCUUUGUUUUUAUUUUUGAUGUUUGGAUUUGUUGUUGGAUUGAUGAAAUGUGGGUUGGACAGAAGUUGUGUGCAUAAAAUUGGAUUUUUAAAUUUUAUUAUUUUUAUAAAAUAUUUAUUAUU